GACGAACGCUGGCGGCGUGCUUAACACAUGCAAGUCGAACGGAAAGGCCCUGCUUGCGUGGGGUGCUCGAGGGGGGAAGGGGUGAGUAACACGUGAGUAACCUGCGCUUGACUUUGGGAUGACUUCAGGAAGGUGGGGAUAAUACAGGAUAGGAGCUGCUGCAGCAGGGUGGGGGUUGGAACGUUUCGGCGGUUGGGGAUGGACGCGCGGCUUAUUAGCUUGUUGGUGGGGUAGUGGCAUACCAAGUCUUUGACGGGUAGCCGGCCUGAGAGGGUGAACGGCCACAUUGGGACUGCGAUACGGACCAGACUCCUACGGGAGGCAGCAGUGGGGAAUAUUGCACAAUGGGCGGAAGCCUGAUGCAGCAACGCCGCGUGCGGGAUGACGGCCUUCGGGUUGUAAACCGCUUUCGCCUGUGACGAAGCGUUAGUGACGGUAAUGGGUAAAGAAGCACCGGCUAACUACGUG
RNAcentral lists this ribosomal RNA (468 nucleotides) under uncultured bacterium. RNAcentral's name for it is "partial 16S ribosomal RNA". It matches the Rfam family "Bacterial small subunit ribosomal RNA", at positions 28 to 507 of the family's 1533-position model. The record is from RNAcentral.